GCUGAAAGUUGAUAAAUUUCCACAUCAUGAAGGCCUGAGUGAGGCAGAUAGCGGCCAGGACAGUUAUUCUAGAGGAGAGAGGAAACAGUAAUUCAAAAGUCCUUUUCAAACGGAUUCUUUAACUUCAGGGCUGCAUAGUGAGUCUAGAAAGAAGCUCUUGUUCCUUUAUUCUACAACACGCUUACCGGACAAAAAGAACAUUAAAGUUUCCUGCAGCCAAAUCAAAGCCUUGAUUCUCAGCUGUGGCAAGACCAAAGCCCACGGUGAGGACAGACAA
Long non-coding RNA from Xiphias gladius (swordfish), 277 nucleotides. RefSeq lists it as uncharacterized. Lineage: Eukaryota; Metazoa; Chordata; Actinopteri; Istiophoriformes; Xiphiidae. The record is from RefSeq and is a predicted model, not a curated record. The transcript is spliced from 3 exons.